Long non-coding RNA from Epinephelus moara (kelp grouper), 1499 nucleotides. RefSeq lists it as uncharacterized. The transcript is spliced from 3 exons. The record is from RefSeq and is a predicted model, not a curated record. NCBI's taxonomy places the organism in Eukaryota, Metazoa, Chordata, Actinopteri, Perciformes, Serranidae.
GGGGAGGGCUGCCAAACAGAGAACAGCCUCAGAGGCAGACAAACUAAAGUGAGGCACACAGCAGAUGAACUACUCUGCAACCAAAAACCACAAACAAGAAGAGAGCAAGAAAGCAAAGGACCAAAAAGAAGAGACAGAUUACGAGGAGUCUGAGAGAGGUCAGAGGAGCACUCCACAUGCAGAGUUUCAUCAGUACCUGAGGAAUAACCUCUCAUAACCUUAAUCUCAACCUGACUGCCUGUCUGGGUCUGCUCAUGUCCUCCUCUGGGUGACGUACUGCACGUUUCAACAACAAACUAGCACGCUGACAACGCUCAGCAGGUUAACUCCUCCAGGGAAGACAUGUCAUGUUCAUCACUGCCUCCUCGUCAUCAACUGGUCUGCUUACUUCUGUUUUGUAGUUUUUGCCAGUCAGUCUGGGCUGGGCUGAGCGUGUGAAAACAACAGAGACUCUCACGGGAUGGAUGCCAGAGAGGAGACGCUGAACAUCCUGAACAGGAUAUGGGUCAAGCUGCAGGGUCUGCCCAGUGCCAACCCUGUAGAGCUGGGAGCAUUCUUUGUCAUCUUAACCUUCAUCUUGGUGGUCGUUCUCUUCAUGGUGCUGACCUGCGUGAACUACUGCUGCUGCUGCUGCUGCUGCUGUCGCAAGACCGCAAAAAAGGGAUCGACCAUUUGAGCAAAUGUGUACCACCUGAUGAGACCUAACAAGCGAUGGUGAUAAAAACAUCCUUGAGACACAACAACAGCUCAUUCAGCUCUCUCAAAUGAACCCUAUAAGUGAAUGAAAACUCCUUCUGGGACUCAUGGCCAUAUACUUCAUAAACAUUCAAGACAUUUCAGUGACUGCUGAAGCCUCAUGCAGGGUGUGUUCAGCGGAGUUCGAGGGGCCCAACCCUUGAAAAACAAAACAACCUGACAAACACAGAGAAGGACGUCCUGACCGGCUGCCAAACACACCUGCUGAAGCUGCCAGGUUUUCAGGAGAAUCCACAUUCUUCAGAGCAUCCCUGUGCUUUUCAGGGCAACAACACCCAACAACCACACCUCUGCCCUGAGGAAAAGGAAUGGCUGAUCCAAAUAAUACCGGCAUGGAAUAUGAGCUAUAAAAAUGUGUAGGAUAAUUAAAAACUGCAGUGAGCUGCGCUGUGAUAUAUGAAGGGGAGAGCCAAAUUAUUUUGUUAUGCUUUUCUACACCUUACUAUGUGUCAUUCUUGAGGAAUGAGUGUUGGCAGUCAGACAUGGAGUUAGAUAAGAUCCUCCUGAGGGGGAAGCUUUCUGACCUCAAAGAGUUUCUUGACAUACUGCACAACAAAACAUAGAUCAAGUCUGCCCUCUGCUGUACACAUACUGAAUGGACUAUGACUGUAUUUUUAAAAGCACAGCGUGCAUGUAAUAACUUUUGUUUCAUGUAUAAAACUGCAUAUAUAUGUACAAAGGGUGGGGAUAUAUAAUUCUUUGACUGUACACUUUUAUACACAAUAAACAAAAUGCAUGUGUGA